Long non-coding RNA from Aedes albopictus (Asian tiger mosquito), 491 nucleotides. RefSeq lists it as uncharacterized. The transcript has 2 exons. The record is from RefSeq and is a predicted model, not a curated record. NCBI's taxonomy places the organism in Eukaryota, Metazoa, Arthropoda, Insecta, Diptera, Culicidae.
GCAUACCGGCUGUGUUAAAUUCACGCAUCGAACCGUUUCGUGCACAAGAACGCUUCGGUGAGUAAAAAUUUUGCUCAUAAUGUGAGUAACUGUUGGCAAACUCACAUUUUGUGUAAAUCAGCUUUUAGCGUUUGUUUACAAAACGUUUCGAAACGAAUGAAAUGUCAAAUUUCGAAACAAACUUUGAAAGUUUAUGUUUUUGUUUUUAUCUCGCGUUGUGGAUGCUGUUCCGGUGAAUUUUUCCUCAUGAAAUCCGCGCUCCUCCGGAUGGAACAAUUCCUUGGCAAUUUUGGAAGGUAACGUAAAGAAAGAAAGAGCGGAUGCGGUGUUUGCACAAGUUGCUUCUGUCAUGGGAACACGUCUGAUGGAUGUCCGGAAUUCAGUAAAUCUUCCUGGAACUGCUGUAGCUGUUCAAUUUACUGGCGUGACAUACGGUUAAUACAAAAAUACAAAGUAAUGCAUCAAAACGAAUAAAAACAUAAAUGAAUAAA